AGGACGAACGCUGGCGGCGUGCCUAACACAUGCAAGUCGAGCGGAGUUAUAUGGAGGAAGUUUUCGGAUGGAAUCCAUAUAAUUUAGCGGCGGACGGGUGGGUAACGCGUGAGCGACCAACCUUGCACAGGGGGAUAAUGGACCGAAAGGUUCACUAAUACCGCAUGAGACCACGGUGUUGCAUGACACAGAGGUCAAAGGAGCAAUCCGGUGCAAGACGGGCUCGCGUCCGAUUAGGUAGUUGGUGGGGUAACGGCCCACCAAGCCUAUGAUCGGUAGCCGACCUGAGAGGGUGAUCGGCCGCAUUGGAACUGAGAUACGGUCCAAACUCCUACGGGAGGCAGCAGUGGGGAAUAUUGGGCAAUGGGGGGAAAAACCCCUGACCCAGCAACGCCGCGUGAAGGAAGAAGGUUUUCGGAUUGUAAACUUCUGUCCUUGGUGAAGAGAAGAAGACGGUAGCCAAGGAGGAAGCCCCGGCUAACUACGUGCCAGCCGCAGC
Molecule: ribosomal RNA, 499 nt
Filed under: uncultured bacterium
Lineage: Bacteria
Description: bacterial SSU rRNA
Rfam family: Bacterial small subunit ribosomal RNA
Source: RNAcentral